RNAcentral lists this ribosomal RNA (497 nucleotides) under uncultured bacterium. RNAcentral describes it as "partial 16S ribosomal RNA". It matches the Rfam family "Bacterial small subunit ribosomal RNA", at positions 28 to 507 of the family's 1533-position model. The record is from RNAcentral.
GAUGAACGCUGGCGGCGUGCCUAAUACAUGCAAGUCGAGCGAACGGAUGAGAAGCUUGCUUCUCUGAUGUUAGCGGCGGACGGGUGAGCAACACGUGGAUAACCUACCUAUAAGACUGGGAUAACUUCGGGAAACCGGAGCUAAUACCGGAUAAUAUUUUGAACCGCAUGGUUCAAAAGUGAAAGACGGUCUUGCUGUCACUUAUAGAUGGAUCCGCGCUGCAUUAGCUAGUUGGUAAGGUAACGGCUUACCAAGGCAACGAUGCAUAGCCGACCUGAGAGGGUGAUCGGCCACACUGGAACUGAGACACGGUCCAGACUCCUACGGGAGGCAGCAGUAGGGAAUCUUCCGCAAUGGGCGAAAGCCUGACGGAGCAACGCCGCGUGAGUGAUGAAGGUCUUCGGAUCGUAAAACUCUGUUAUUAGGGAAGAACAUAUGUGUAAGUAACUGUGCACAUCUUGACGGUACCUAAUCAGAAAGCCACGGCUAACUACGUG